AUACGUAGGUGGCAAGCGUUGUCCGGAAUUACUGGGUGUAAAGGGCGUGUAGGCGGGAGGAUAAGUCAGAUGUGAAAACCCGGGGCUCAACUUCGGGAGUGCAUCUGAAACUAUACUUCUUGAGUGCUGGCGAGGAAAGCGGAAUUCCUAGUGUAGCGGUGAAAUGCGUAGAUAUUAGGAGGAACACCAGUGGCGAAGGCGGCUUUCUGGACAGUAACUGACGCUGAGGCGCGAAAGCGUGGGGAGCAAACAGGAUUAGAUACCCUGGUAGUCCACGCCGUAAACGAUGGAUACUAGGUGUAGGAGGUAUCGACCCCUUCUGUGCCGGAGUUAACACAAUAAGUAUCCCACCUGGGGAGUACGGCCGCAAGGCUGAA
This 377-nucleotide ribosomal RNA is filed under the name uncultured bacterium. RNAcentral's name for it is "bacterial SSU rRNA". It matches the Rfam family "Bacterial small subunit ribosomal RNA", at positions 523 to 898 of the family's 1533-position model. The record is from RNAcentral.